GAUGAACGCUGGCGGCGUGCCUUAUACAUGCAAGUCGAGUGGGUUCAGCCCCACGGCAAACGGGCGAGUACCACGUAGGUACUUUCCUUGUCACAGGAUUAACCCUCCGACAGGAGGGCUAAUACCUGAUGUGAUCGCAACAUUAAAGCGUAUCCGCAAGGGUUACCGGACAUGAAGAGGCCUGCGGCCUAUCAGCUAGUUGGCGGGGUAAAUGCCCACCCAGGCGAUGACGGGUAGCUGGUCUUAUGAGGAUGGUCAGUCACAUGGGCACUGAGACACGGGCCCAACUCCUACGCGAGGCAGCAGGAGGGGAUUUUGCGAAAUGGGCGGAAGCCUGACGCAGCGACGCCGCGGGCGGGAUGAAGGCCUUCGGGUCGGAAACGGCUUUUAUAACGGAAGAACUUUGACGGUACCUUAUGAAUAAGAGGUUGCUAACUCUGUG
This 442-nucleotide ribosomal RNA is filed under the name uncultured bacterium. Its description in RNAcentral is "partial 16S ribosomal RNA". It matches the Rfam family "Bacterial small subunit ribosomal RNA", at positions 28 to 507 of the family's 1533-position model. The record is from RNAcentral.